UUUAACUGAAGAGUUUGAUCAUGGCUCAGAUUGAACGCUGGCGGCAGGCUUAACACAUGCAAGUCGAGCGGGGGAAGGUAGCUUGCUACUGGACCUAGCGGCGGACGGGUGAGUAAUGCUUAGGAAGAUCCAGCCAUGCCGCGUGUGUGAAGAAGGCCUUAUGGUUGUAAAGCACUUUAAGCGAGGAGGAGGCUACUUUAGUUAAUACCUAGAGAUAGUGGACGUUACUCGCAGAAUAAGCACCGGCUAACUCUGUGCCAGCAGCCGCGGUAAUACAGAGGGUGCGAGCGUUAAUCGGAUUUACUGGGCGUAAAGCGUGCGUAGGCGGCUUAUUAAGUCGGAUGUGAAAUCCCCGAGCUUAACUUGGGAAUUGCAUUCGAUACUGGUGAGCUAGAGUAUGGGAGAGGAUGGUAGAAUUCCAGGUGUAGCGGUGAAAUGCGUAGAGAUCUGGAGGAAUACCGAUGGCGAAGGCAGCCAUCUGGCCUAAUACUGACGCUGAGGUACGAAAGCAUGGGGAGCAAACAGGAUUAGAUACCCUGGUAGUCCAUGCCGUAAACGAUGUCUACUAGCCGUUGGGGCCUUUGAGGCUUUAGUGGCGCAGCUAACGCGAUAAGUAGACCGCCUGGGGAGUACGGUCGCAAGACUAAAACUCAAAUGAAUUGACGGGGGCCCGCACAAGCGGUGGAGCAUGUGGUUUAAUUCGAUGCAACGCGAAGAACCUUACCUGGCCUUGACAUACUAGAAACUUUCCAGAGAUGGAUUGGUGCCUUCGGGAAUCUAGAUACAGGUGCUGCAUGGCUGUCGUCAGCUCGUGUCGUGAGAUGUUGGGUUAAGUCCCGCAACGAGCGCAACCCUUUUCCUUACUUGCCAGCAUUUCGGAUGGGAACUUUAAGGAUACUGCCAGUGACAAACUGGAGGAAGGCGGGGACGACGUCAAGUCAUCAUGGCCCUUACGGCCAGGGCUACACACGUGCUACAAUGGUCGGUACAAAGGGUUGCUACACAGCGAUGUGAUGCUAAUCUCAAAAAGCCGAUCGUAGUCCGGAUUGAGUCUGCAACUCGACUCCAUGAAGUCGGAAUCGCUAGUAAUCGCGGAUCAGAAUGCCGCGGUGAAUACGUUCCGGGCCUUGUACACACCGCCCGUCACACCAUGGGAGUUUUUUUGUUGCACCAGAAGUAGCUAGGGGAACCUGCGGCUGGCCUUAACUGCAAAAGUUGUUCUUCAUAGAUGUAUUCGAGGGGCGGUUACCACGGUGUGGGGCCAAGAUGACUGGGGGUGAAGUCGAUAACAAGAUGUAGCCGUAGGG
Molecule: ribosomal RNA, 1307 nt
Filed under: Acinetobacter baumannii
Lineage: Bacteria; Pseudomonadati; Pseudomonadota; Gammaproteobacteria; Moraxellales; Moraxellaceae
Description: bacterial SSU rRNA
Rfam family: Bacterial small subunit ribosomal RNA
Source: RNAcentral